This 440-nucleotide ribosomal RNA is filed under the name uncultured bacterium. RNAcentral's name for it is "partial 16S ribosomal RNA". It matches the Rfam family "Bacterial small subunit ribosomal RNA", at positions 338 to 795 of the family's 1533-position model. The record is from RNAcentral.
CCUACGGGUGGCAGCAGUGGGGGAUAUUGCACAAUGGGGGAAACCCUGAUGCAGCGACGCCGCGUGUGGGAAGACGGUCCUCUGGAUUGUAAACCACGGUCCCCAGGGACGAAGAUGACGGUACCUGGCGAGGAAGCUCCGGCUAACUACGUGCCAGCAGCCGCGGUAAUACGUAGGGAGCGAGCGUUAUCCGGAAUUACUGGGUGUAAAGGGAGCGUAGGCGGGAGGGCAAGUUGGGGGUCAAAUCUCCCGGCUCAACCGGGAGCCGCACUGAAAACUGCAGUUCUUGAGUGAUGUAGAGGCAGGCGGAAUUCCUGGUGUAGCGGUGAAAUGCGUAGAUAUUAGGAGGAACACCGGUGGCGAAGGCGGCUUGCUGGGCUUUUACUGACGCUGAGGCUCGAAAGUGUGGGGAGCGAACAGGAUUAGAUACCCUAGUAGUC